RNAcentral lists this ribosomal RNA (254 nucleotides) under uncultured bacterium. RNAcentral's name for it is "partial 16S ribosomal RNA". It matches the Rfam family "Bacterial small subunit ribosomal RNA", at positions 524 to 776 of the family's 1533-position model. The record is from RNAcentral.
CACGUAGGGUGCGAGCGUUGUCCGGAAUUAUUGGGCGUAAAGAGCUCGUAGGCGGUGUGUCGCGUCGGCCGUGAAAACCUGCAGCUUAACUGUGGGCUUGCGGUCGAUACGGGCAUCACUGGAGUUCGGCAGGGGAGACUGGAAUUCCUGGUGUAGCGGUGGAAUGCGCAGAUAUCAGGAAGAACACCCGUGGCGAAGGCGGCUCUCUGGAACGCAACUGACGCUGAGACGCGAAAGCGUGGGGAGCAAACAGG